UACGUAUGGUGCAAGCGUUAUCCGGAUUUACUGGGUGUAAAGGGAGCGCAGGCGGCGCGUUAAGUCUGAUGUGAAAACCCGCGGCUCAACUGCGGGACUGCAUUGGAAACUGGCGGGCUUGAGUGCCGGAGAGGCAAGCGGAAUUCCGUGUGUAGCGGUGAAAUGCGUAGAUAUACGGAGGAACACCAGUGGCGAAGGCGGCCUGCUGGACAAUAACUGACGCUGAGGCGCGAAAGCGUGGGGAGCAAACAGG
Molecule: ribosomal RNA, 253 nt
Filed under: uncultured Eubacteriales bacterium
Lineage: Bacteria; Bacillati; Bacillota; Clostridia; Eubacteriales
Description: uncultured Clostridiales bacterium partial 16S ribosomal RNA
Rfam family: Bacterial small subunit ribosomal RNA
Source: RNAcentral